AUGAGUCGACCUGAUGGGAUCAACAUCCCCGAUGGCAAGUUCUACCUUGAAUAUGUUGGCUAUGCAUGUCGGUCGGGUAUUCUUCCACCCUUCAGGAAAACCAAGUACCAUCUCAACGAGUUCUCUGAUAGGAACUAUCCUAGGACUGCACAGAAGCUGUUUAAUCUCAAACACUCCAGCCUUAGAGUAACUGUUGAGAGGGCAUUUGGAGAUCUGAAGAAUAGGUUUAAGAUCCUGGAUCAGAAGGCAUUCCACCCAUACUCCACUCAGGUUAAGCUUGUUCUUACUUGUUGCAUUCUGCAUAACUGGAUCCUCCAGUGGGGCUUUGAUGAACACGUGCCUGAGGAGGAAGAGGUCGAGCCUGACGAUGUUGUUAGCUCCGGCCAUGGUGUGGAGGCAUUUGACAAUGACGCUUGGAAGAACAAAAGGUUGUAGUGGGCAGAGGCAAUGUGGCUUAACAGAGGUCAGUGCAGGAUUUGA
RNAcentral lists this ribosomal RNA (480 nucleotides) under Triticum aestivum (bread wheat). RNAcentral describes it as "partial small subunit ribosomal RNA". The record is from RNAcentral. Lineage: Eukaryota; Viridiplantae; Streptophyta; Magnoliopsida; Poales; Poaceae.